AUUGAACGCUGGCGGCAUGCUUUACACAUGCAAGUCGAACGGCAGCGCGGGGGCAACCCUGGCGGCGAGUGGCGAACGGGUGAGUAAUGUAUCGGAACGUAUCCUGUAAUGGGGGAUAACCAGUCGAAAGAUUGGGUAAUACCGCAUACGCACGAGAGUGGAAAGUAGGGGAUCGCAAGACCUUACGUUAUAGGAGCGGCCGAUAUCUGAUUAGCUAGUUGGUGGGGUAAAGGCCUACCAAGGCGACGAUCAGUAGCUGGUCUGAGAGGACGACCAGCCACACUGGGACUGAGACACGGCCCAGACUCCUACGGGAGGCAGCAGUGGGGAAUUUUGGACAAUGGGCGAAAGCCUGAUCCAGCCAUGCCGCGUGCAGGAUGACGGCCCUACGGGUUGUAAACUGCUUUCCCGGGCGAAUAACCCCUCGCGAGGGGAGUGCGGUACCGGGGAGUAAGGAUCGGCGUAACUCCGUGCCAGCAGCCGCGGUAAAGUCACGUCG
RNAcentral lists this ribosomal RNA (499 nucleotides) under uncultured bacterium. RNAcentral's name for it is "bacterial SSU rRNA". It matches the Rfam family "Bacterial small subunit ribosomal RNA", at positions 29 to 530 of the family's 1533-position model. The record is from RNAcentral.